ACUAAAACUAGCCCAAAAACCCCACUCCAAUAAAUAAUUAAGAUAAAAUAAAACAAAACAUUUACCCCAAACUAAAGUAUAGGAGAUAGAAAUAUUAAAUACGGCGCUAUAGAGGAAGUACCGCAAGGGAACGAUGAAAGAAAAAUCAAAAGUACAAAAAAGCAAAGAUUACCCCUUGUACCUCUUGCAUAAUGAAUUAACUAGUACAAACUUAACAAAACGAAUUUUAGUUAAGUAACCCGAAACCAGACGAGCUACUUACAAACAGUUUACCAAGAACUAACUCGUCUAUGUGGCAAAAUAGUGAGAAGAUUUGUUAAGUUAGUGGUGGACAUGCCUAACGAGCCUGGUGAUAGCUGGUUGUCCAGAAAAUGAAUCUUAGUUCAGCUUUAAAGAUACCAAAAAGUCCAAAUAAACCUCACUGUAUCUUUAAAAGUUAAUCUAAAAAGGUACAGCCUUUUAGAAACGGAUACAACCUUAACUAGAGAGUAAGAUUUAACAAUACCAUAGUAGGCCCAAAAGCAGCCACCAAUUAAGAAAGCGUUAAAGCUCAACAAUAAAAACUCCAUAAAUUCCAAAAAUAGACAACAACUCCUAACCCUAUUACUGGACUAAUCUAUUACAAAAUAGAAGCAAUAAUGUUAAUAUGAGUAACAAGAAACACUUUCUCCUUGCAUAAGUUUAAGUCAGUAUCUGAUAAUACCCUGACCAUUAACAGCUAAUAAAAAUAGCCCAAUAAUAAAUAAUUUAUUUAUUAUACUGUUAAUCCAACACAGGAGUGCACCAAGGAAAGAUUAAAAGAAGUAAAAGGAACUCGGCAAACACAAACCCCGCCUGUUUACCAAAAACAUCACCUCCAGCAUCCCUAGUAUUGGAGGCACUGCCUGCCCAGUGACAACCGUUAAAC
Molecule: ribosomal RNA, 907 nt
Filed under: Bubalus depressicornis (lowland anoa)
Lineage: Eukaryota; Metazoa; Chordata; Mammalia; Artiodactyla; Bovidae
Description: partial 16S ribosomal RNA
Rfam family: Bacterial large subunit ribosomal RNA (bases 160-907)
Source: RNAcentral